RNAcentral lists this ribosomal RNA (497 nucleotides) under uncultured bacterium. RNAcentral describes it as "partial 16S ribosomal RNA". It matches the Rfam family "Bacterial small subunit ribosomal RNA", at positions 28 to 507 of the family's 1533-position model. The record is from RNAcentral.
GACGAACGCUGGCGGCGUGCCUAAUACAUGCAAGUUGAGCGCUGAAGGUAGGUACUUGUUCCUCUUGGAUGAGCAGCGAACGGGUGAGUAACGCGUGGGGAAUCUGCCUUUGAGCGGGGGAUAACUUUUGGAAACGAAUGCUAAUACCGCAUAACAACUUUAAACACAUGUUUUAAGUUUGAAAGAUGCAAUUGCUUCACUCAAAGAUGAUCCCGCGUUGUAUUAGCUAGUUGGUGAGGUAAAGGCUCACCAAAGCGAUGAUACAUAGCCGACCUGAGAGGGUGAUCGGCCACAUUGGGACUGAGACACGGCCCAAACUCCUACGGGAGGCAGCAGUAGGGAAUCUUCGGCAAUGGGCGAAAGGCUGACCGAGCAACGCCGCGUGAGUGAAGAAGGUUUUCGGAUCGUAAAACUCUGUUGGUAGGGAAGAACGUUGGUGAGAGUGGAAAGCUCAUCAAGUGACGGUAACUACCCAGAAAGGGACGGCUAACUACGUG